RNAcentral lists this ribosomal RNA (447 nucleotides) under uncultured bacterium. Its description in RNAcentral is "bacterial SSU rRNA". It matches the Rfam family "Bacterial small subunit ribosomal RNA", at positions 355 to 825 of the family's 1533-position model. The record is from RNAcentral.
UGGGGAAUAUUGGACAAUGGGCGCAAGCCUGAUCCAGCCAUGCCGCGUGAGUGACGAAGGUCUUCGGAUUGUAAAGCUCUUUUGGCGGGGACGAUAAUGACGGUACCCGCAGAAUAAGCCCCGGCUAACUUCGUGCCAGCAGCCGCGGUAAUACGAAGGGGGCUAGCGUUGUUCGGAAUUACUGGGCGUAAAGCGCACGUAGGCGGACUGAUAAGUCAGGGGUGAAAUCCCGGGGCUCAACCUCGGAACUGCCUUUGAUACUGUUAGUCUCGAGUCCGGAAGAGGUGAGUGGAAUUCCUGGUGUAGCGGUGAAAUGCGUAGAUAUCAGGAGGAACACCCGUGGCGAAGGCGGAUCUCUGGACCGGUUCUGACGCUGAGGAGCGAAAGCUAGGGGAGCAAACAGGAUUAGAUACCCCCGUAGUCCCUGAGCGGGCUGGCAAGGCGCAU